GAUGAACGCUGGCGGCGUGCUUAACACAUGCAAGUCGAACGGAAAGGCCCAAGCUUGCUUGGGUACUCGAGUGGCGAACGGGUGAGUAACACGUGGGUGAUCUGCCCUGCACUUCGGGAUAAGCCUGGGAAACUGGGUCUAAUACCGGAUAGGACGAUGGUUUGGAUGCCAUUGUGGAAAGUUUUUUCGGUGUGGGAUGAGCUCGCGGCCUAUCAGCUUGUUGGUGGGGUAAUGGCCUACCAAGGCGUCGACGGGUAGCCGGCCUGAGAGGGUGUACGGCGACAUUGGGACUGAGAUACGGCCCAGACUCCUACGGGAGGCAGCAGUGGGGAAUAUUGCACAAUAGGCGCAAGCCUGAGGCGGCGACGCCGCGUGGGGGAUGACGGCCUUCGGGUGGUAAACUCCUUUCGCUAGGGACGAAGCGUGUUUGUGACGGUACCUGGAGAAGAAGCACCGGCUAACUACGUG
RNAcentral lists this ribosomal RNA (468 nucleotides) under uncultured bacterium. RNAcentral's name for it is "partial 16S ribosomal RNA". It matches the Rfam family "Bacterial small subunit ribosomal RNA", at positions 28 to 507 of the family's 1533-position model. The record is from RNAcentral.